This 253-nucleotide ribosomal RNA is filed under the name uncultured bacterium. RNAcentral's name for it is "partial 16S ribosomal RNA". It matches the Rfam family "Bacterial small subunit ribosomal RNA", at positions 524 to 776 of the family's 1533-position model. The record is from RNAcentral.
UACGGAGGGUGCAAGCGUUAUCCGGAUUCACUGGGUUUAAAGGGUGCGUAGGCGGAUUGGUAAGUCCGUGGUGAAAUCUCUAAGCUUAACUUGGAAACUGCCAUGGAUACUAUUAGUCUUGAAUAUUGUGGAGGUUAGCGGAAUAUGUCAUGUAGCGGUGAAAUGCAUAGAUAUGACAUAGAACACCAAUUGCGAAGGCAGCUGGCUACACAAAUAUUGACGCUGAUGCACGGAAGCGUGGGGAUCAAACAGG